UUGACCUACGGGACGCAGCAGUGAGGAAUAUUGGUCAAUGGCCGGAAGGCUGAACCAGCCAAGCCGCGUGAAGGACGAAGGUGCCAAGCAUUGUAAACUUCUUUUGUCAAGGGACAAAAUCAGGCUCGAGAGCCUGACCGAGGGUACUUGAAGAAAAAGCAUCGGCUAACUCCGUGCCAGCAGCCGCGGUAAUACGGAGGAUGCGAGCGUUAUCCGGAUUUAUUGGGUUUAAAGGGUGCGUAGGCGGAAUGCCAAGUCAGCGGUAAAAGCCCGGGGCUCAACCCCGGCGAGCCGUUGAAACUGGG
RNAcentral lists this ribosomal RNA (305 nucleotides) under uncultured bacterium. Its description in RNAcentral is "bacterial SSU rRNA". It matches the Rfam family "Bacterial small subunit ribosomal RNA", at positions 334 to 637 of the family's 1533-position model. The record is from RNAcentral.